GGAGCCGGGGUGUAGUGGUCAAACAUGGAACCCUGUCAAGGUUCAGAGCGCGGGUUCGAAUCCCGUCGGCUCCGCCA
RNAcentral lists this transfer RNA (77 nucleotides) under Roseiflexaceae bacterium. Its description in RNAcentral is "tRNA-Asp". It matches the Rfam family "tRNA". From Rfam's summary of the family: Transfer RNA (tRNA) molecules are approximately 80 nucleotides in length. Their secondary structure includes four short double-helical elements and three loops (D, anti-codon, and T loops). Further hydrogen bonds mediate the characteristic L-shaped molecular structure. tRNAs have two regions of fundamental functional importance: the anti-codon, which is responsible for specific mRNA codon recognition, and the 3' end, to which the tRNAs corresponding amino acid is attached (by aminoacyl-tRNA synthetases). tRNAs cope with the degeneracy of the genetic code in two manners: having more than one tRNA (with a specific anti-codon) for a particular amino acid; and 'wobble' base-pairing, i.e. permitting non-standard base-pairing at the 3rd anti-codon position. Lineage: Bacteria; Bacillati; Chloroflexota; Chloroflexia; Chloroflexales; Roseiflexaceae. The record is from RNAcentral.